CAUUCAACCUUUGAACGG
This 18-nucleotide microRNA is filed under the name Drosophila virilis. RNAcentral's name for it is "dvi-miR-955-3p". Its record names the gene dvi-miR-955-3p. The record is from miRBase by way of RNAcentral. Lineage: Eukaryota; Metazoa; Arthropoda; Insecta; Diptera; Drosophilidae.